CACGUAGGGUGCGAGCGUUGUCCGGAAUUAUUGGGCGUAAAGAGCUCGUAGGCGGUGUGUCGCGUCGGCCGUGAAAACCUGCAGCUUAACUGUGGGCUUGCGGUCGAUACGGGCAUCACUGGAGUUCGGCAGGGGAGACUGGAAUUCCUGGUGUAGCGGUGAAAUGCGCAGAGUAUCAGGAAGAACACCCGUGGCGAAGGCGGCUCUCUGGGACGGUACUGACGCUGAGACGCGAAAGCGUGGGGAGCGAACAGG
RNAcentral lists this ribosomal RNA (255 nucleotides) under uncultured bacterium. Its description in RNAcentral is "partial 16S ribosomal RNA". It matches the Rfam family "Bacterial small subunit ribosomal RNA", at positions 524 to 776 of the family's 1533-position model. The record is from RNAcentral.